RNAcentral lists this ribosomal RNA (2628 nucleotides) under freshwater metagenome. Its description in RNAcentral is "bacterial LSU rRNA". It matches the Rfam family "Bacterial large subunit ribosomal RNA", at positions 71 to 2628 of the family's 2925-position model. The record is from RNAcentral.
ACGCUUUUUGUUUAAUCUAGCUGCUAAAAAUGCGCCCCUAAAUGGAACGAAUAGCUUAUCAAAAAUUGGUCUACCUAAACCUACUCGAUAGACGUUAAUUCUCCCAAUUUUUUCUAAAUUUGGUAAAACUUUUUGAAUUUUUAAUAAUUUUGUGGAUAACUCGGUGAACUGAAACAUCUUAUUAGCCGAAGGAAAAGAAAGCAACAGCGAUUUUCUUAUUAGUGGCGAGCUAACAGAAAACAGCCUAAACCUUUGUGGGUGUCGUGGGGUUUCUAUAAAUAUGUAUAAAACUUUUCGAAGCUGCUGAAUACAGCGUCAAAGAAGGUUGGAAAUCCUGUAGAAAAGAAAUUAUACAAUUAAGAAAAUUUCCCGAGUAGCAUAGAGCACGUGUAAUUCUGUGUGAAUCUGCGAGGACCACCUCGUAAGGCUAAAUACUCCUAAGUGACCGAUAGUGAACUAGUACCGUGAGGGAAAGCUGAAAAGAACCCUGGGAAGGGAGUGAAAUAGAUCAUGAAAGCAUAAGCUUACAAGCAGUAGGAGGUCUAUUUAAAGACUGACUGUGUGCCUGUUGAAGAAUGAGCUGGCGACUUAUAGGCAGUGGCUUGGUUAAGGUUUUUUCCGGAGCCGUAGAGAAGUCGUGUUUGAAUAAAGCGUUUGUCACUGUUUAUAGACCCGAACCCGGGUGAUCUAACCAUGACCAGGAUGAAGCUUUGGUAAAACAAAGUGGAGGACCGAACUCACCAAUGUUGAAAAAUUGGGAGAUGAGUUGUGGUUAGGGGAGAAAUUCUAAUCGAACUCGGAGCUAGCUGGAUCUCUUCGAAAUGCGUUGAGGCGCAGCGGCAAUUCAUGGUAAUAUUAGGGGUAAAGCACUGUUUCGAUGCGGGCUGCGAAAGCGGUACCAAGUUGUGGCAAACUCUGAAUACUAAUAUCUAUACGAAUAGCCAGUGAGACUGUGGGGGAUAAGCUUCAUUGUCGAGAGGGAAACAGCCCAGACCACCGUUUAAGGCCCCUAAAUAUUUGCUAAGUGGUAAAGGAUGUAAUAUUACAUAGACAACCAGGAGGUUAGCUUAGAAGCAGCUAUCUACCUUUAAAAAGUGCGUAAUAGCUUACUGGUCAAGUGAUUUUGCGCCGAAAAUGAAUGGGACUAAGCAUUUUGCCGAAGACGUGGGAAUUAAUAAUCAGUAGAAGAGCGUUCUGUUUUGGUUUGAAGCGGUAGUGAAAACAGUCGUGGACUAAGCAGAAGUGAGAAUGUCAGCUUAAGUAACGAAAACAUUGGUGGAAAUCCAAUGCCCCGUAAAUCUAAGGUUUCCUUAGCUAGGUUCGUCCACUAAGGGUUAGUCAGAUCCUAAGGUUAGGUUUAACAACGUAACUGAUGGUUAACAGGUUGAUAUUCCUGUACUACCUUAUGUUUAAUCAGGAGUAACGAAAAAGGCUAAUUCAGUCAGACAUUGGUUGUUCUGAUUUAAGGAUUCAAGGUAAUAGUUGUAUUAUAAAAAAUGCUUCUAGCUGAGGUCCGAAUACGAUAGAUACUACGGUAUCAAAAGUGAACUACGUCAUGUUUCCUAGAAAAACUUCAGUGGUGUGUAACAUAAGGUAUCUGUACCGUAAACUGACACAGGUAGAUUGGUAGAGUAUACUAAGGGGCUCGAGAUAACUCUUUCUAAGGAACUCGGCAAAAUGACUCCGUAACUUCGGGAGAAGGAGUGCCUCAUUUAUGAGGUCGCAGUGAUCAGGUCCAAGCGACUGUUUACCAAAAACACAGGUCUCCGCUAAGUUGUAAAACGAUGUAUGGGGGCUGACGCCUGCCCAGUGCCGGAAGGUUAAAGAAAUUGGUUAGCUUAUGCGAAGCUAGUGACUGAAGCCCUGGUGAACGGCGGUCGUAACUAUAACGAUCCUAAGGUAGCGAAAUUCCUUGUCGGGUAAGUUCCGACCCGCACGAAAGGCGUAACGAUUUGGACACUGUCUCAGAAAGAGACUCGGUGAAAUAGAAUUGACUGUGAAGAUGCGGUCUACUUGCACUUGGACAGAAAGACCCUAUGAAGCUUUACUGUAACUUGAAAUUGGCUUUGGGCUUUUCUUGCGCAGAAUAGGUGGGAGGCUUUGAUUCUCUUUUUCGGAAGUAGAUGAGCUGAAAUGUGAGAUACCACUCUGGAGAAGUUAGAAGUCUAAUAGUAUGCUUUAAUCAAGAUACUUGAAAGUUUCAGGCGGGCAGUUUUACUGGGGCGGUAGCCUCCUAAAAGGUAACGGAGGCGUACAAAGGUUUUUUCAGUCUGGACGGAAAUUAGUUUUAGAGUGUAAAGACAUAAGAAAGCUUGACUGUGAGACCUAUAAGUCAAACAGGGACUAAAGUCGGUCUUAGUGACCCGACGGUGCUGAGUGGAAAGGCCGUCGUUCAACAGAUAAAAGUUACUCUAGGGAUAACAGGCUGAUCUCCCCCAAGAGUUCAUAUCGACGGGGAGGUUUGGCACCUCGAUGUCGGCUCAUCGCAACCUGGGGCGGUAGUACGUCCCAAGGGUUGGGCUGUUCGCCCAUUAAAGCGCCUAUCGUGACUGGGAAACAGAUCGGAAGAGCACACGUCUGAACUCCAGUCACUAAUGCGCAUCUCGUAUGCCGUCUUCUGCUUGAAAA